Long non-coding RNA from Symphalangus syndactylus (siamang), 1329 nucleotides. RefSeq lists it as uncharacterized. NCBI's taxonomy places the organism in Eukaryota, Metazoa, Chordata, Mammalia, Primates, Hylobatidae. The record is from RefSeq and is a predicted model, not a curated record.
UGGAUAUUUGCCCUAUUUUACUGAUAAGAAAGCAGUAUCAGAAAGGCUAAGUAGCAUGCCCGAGUUACAGCAUUAGUAAGUCUCUGGAAUCCAGUCUACUUACUCCAAAGCCUAUCUUUUUAACCUAUACCCUUUGCCCCUCCUAUAUAAUGUUUGUUGCUUUUCUGUUUUAUUUUAUGUUUUUGAAUAGAACUUCCUUCUGAAUUUCUCAGGGAAAGCUGGGGCCUGACUUAUGGAUUACACAGUGGACGUACUUUUCCAGGAUCUGAGGAGGGUGUGAGAAUCAGGUGGAUUGUGACAUUCCCCAUAAAAAAGCAGUGUAGAAUGAACUUUUAACCCCUUGGUGUCUGCACUAAGAAUUCAUCUGAGAUUCUUUCUUCCUUUUUCAAAUUUUUCACAUGCUUAGGAAGUCAUUGUGAGCAAAAACAGAGUCCAAGGCCCAGAGUGCCCCCUGCAGGGCCGGAAGGAGGAUUCAGGACAGCGGCGGGAUGCACAGCCAGCUGUGGGGCUGCGAGGCGGGGCCCUGGAGACCCUUCCCAUCAGUGAGGGUUUGCAGGCUAAUCCUGUAGGCAAAGGGCACUCAUGGAGCAUUGUUGAGCAGGGACGUGAUGAAAUCAAGAUGGUUUAGGUGGAUUAUUCUGCAGGCAUGUGCAUGGUGGGUGGGGUGGGGGAGAGACUGAAGGAUAGGAGGUAUUGCAGGAAUAGAGACAAUGUGAUAUGGGGCUGAAAUUAGACAAUAGAGUGAGAAUGGAAGCCAGGGACAGAUGGGAAAGGCAUUAAGAUGCUACAAAGGGAGUAACGAGACUUACUUGAUUGUGAAGAAUGACAAAAAGUGCCAUAAGAGGAGGAAAAUAAAGCAUCCUAGCAGAACUGGGGGAAUCAGAAAUGAGAACUUAUUUGGGGAGAAAAAGGAUUUAAUUUUUCAAACAGUUUUAGCAUCUUGGAUUUUGGGGGCAUAUUUUGAAAAGGACUAAAUAGGAAUUGUUUUUGCUGCAGAGCCCAUCCCAUCGCUUGCCUUUCAGAGACACCAUCAUGUAGGAAAUGCGAAUCUUUUACCCAUCUCUUCAGGACUCCGGAAGACAGAGAUGAGCCUUCUGUUCCCAGUGAUCACAGAGCCCCAGGAUGACGCUAGCCUCAAGAUAAUAAAUCAGAGAGUAAAAGAAUUUUGCAACAGGCAGCUCUGGAGAGGGGAGUCACUGAAGCAUAGGAAAGAAAUGGAAGCCCACCUUCAUUUCUUUUUCCUGCUAAAAAAUAGCUCGUUGGUCUGUCCGAGUUUUCUGCUCUGGGUGACUUCUGGGACAACACUGUUAAAUAAAACUCUUGAACUUA